GUAGAGGACUUCCAAUCAUUGAGCUUCAGAACAGUGUGUGCCAAUAGCCUGGCAGAAAUUAAAAGUGCCUCUGCUUGAACAUGUACAUUUUUACAUUUUAGUCAUUUAGCAGACGCUCUUAUCCAGAGCGAUUUACAGUAGUGAAUGCAUACAUUUCAUAAUUUUUUUUCCAGUACUGGUCCCCCGUGGGAAUUGAACCCACAACCCUGGCGUUGCAAACACCAUGCUCUACCAACUGAGCCACUCUACCAACUGAGCCACAUGGGACCGUGGCAUUCUGUACCAAGGAAUAUGCUUCUCAAUAUCCACACUCAGCUGUGAAUUUUAAGCAAACGUUUCAGAAAAUCCCACGGAAUUACUGGAACUAAAAAAUGAUUAUCUCUAGGCAGAGUUUUGCAGACUAUCAUCAAAAACACUUUGACAAAGGAUACCCCUGUGCAUCCUUGGCAAAAUGAGGUAGGUCCUCUGUCAGAAACAGCUUGAAGCACUCUGCCUCAGAUGGAGAUGACAAGGGGCUUUGCACUCGACUGGGACUCAUAAAAACCAACAGCAUGGCCAGGAUGGGUGAAAUUACUGGAGGCCUUCCAGCUACCGCAGACCUCCCGUAUUUCACUCACUGUUGAUGUGCCUCCAUCACCACCAGCAUCUUCAGAGGGACCUGGGACUUCUUCGGUGGCAAAGGGUCCUCAGAUUCAGAGUUCUCAAUGGCUACAAGGUUGGGGGGCAGCUCCUUACUCUCACUGUCAGAACCUGAUUCCUCACUGUCAUAAUCAGAAUCAUUAUCAGAAUUUACAAAAAUUUCCAGAAUUUCCAUAUUUGUAAAUUGUCUUCUUUUUAAAGACAUUGCUAAUGCUACAGCUUAGCCCACUAGCUACAUACAUAAAAAACAACACUGAAUGGCUCCAAGUGAGUGUCAGGGGCGACGUGAUUGGCUACCGGUGUGGUGAUACUGAUGAUUUGUCUCCACAAAGGGUUUGGUUAUACAGCAGGUUAGGAUAAUUAACAUGGCAGGUUAGGAUAACUAAUGCAGCAGGUUUGGUGAAUUAUAUAUACUAGGUUAAGAGAAUGAGGUUAAGGUUAGGAAAAGGGUUAGGGUUAGGCUUGUCUACAAGCUACAGUUGUCACCAACAGUUGUCCCCGACAUAACCACUAGAUGGAGCUAUUGUAGGCCUAGCUACUCCAUUGAGCCUCAACGUUAGAAACGUAAACAAACCAUCUGUGGCGACAAGUCAUCAGUAGCGUUAUCAUAACACCUGAAUGGGCCACUUGUAUCAAUAAAUCAC
RNAcentral lists this long non-coding RNA (1283 nucleotides) under Salmo salar (Atlantic salmon). RNAcentral describes it as "lncRNA (ENSSSAG00000086272.1)". Lineage: Eukaryota; Metazoa; Chordata; Actinopteri; Salmoniformes; Salmonidae. The record is from RNAcentral.